GCUCCGGCUGUGACUUCCUGAUGCCCAGUGGGAGAACUGCAGAGCCCAGGACACAGCCCCAAGGUCCUAGAAGAAGGAGAGGUUUGACUCUGUGGGCAGCUUGUUACGAGUCUAUCAGCAGCAAGAACCAGAUCAUCUCGAGAGUUUGGGCCCAAUCAGGUUCCCUGUCCAUCGCUUCAUCUUACCCCCCACCCUCAUCCCCAACCCCCGACCAGACUGGGAUGAUGCGGCAGGACGCUUAGAGGUCUGGCCUCCCCCGCCAGCAGAGGCGCAGGUGCGCCUACAGCUACGCAUGCGUAGCCCGCAGCCUCUGCAGAGCCCGCUGCAAACCUACAGCCGGCGUGGGAAGAAUCCUGUGAGUUACGCUCGGGUCACGUGAUGCGGAGAGCUGGCCAGAUGAACAGAAUGGUGCACUUGUGGAGUUCAGAAGAUAGCUUGUGUGAACUGAUUUAAUCUUCCACCUUGUGAGAUGUAGGAAUCAAAAAGGUCAGCAGCCUCGGCCGCAAAGCCUUUACCCACUGAGCGCCAUCUCUCUGGCCCAGGAGCAGUCUCUAAAGUCAACGGGAGAGGCCUGGAGAGAUGACCCAGCAGUUAACAGCAUGUGCUGCUCUUCUGGAAGGCCCGGGUUUGAUUCCCAGCACCCCUACACCAGCCCACAACCCUCUGGAAGUCCAGUUCCAGGGGAUCUGAUGACUUUCAGCCUCCUCUGACUCCUGUGUGUACAUGGUGCACAUGUGUGCACUCAGACAUGUACACAUAAAAUAAAUGUUUUAAGAUGGAAAAAG
Non-coding RNA from Peromyscus maniculatus bairdii (prairie deer mouse), 785 nucleotides. The record is from RefSeq and is a predicted model, not a curated record. NCBI's taxonomy places the organism in Eukaryota, Metazoa, Chordata, Mammalia, Rodentia, Cricetidae.